UCUAGACCAAAAUAAUUACAGCAGUAGAAUAUAGCAUGAUUUUCUAUGCCUCUUUGUCUGUUCCUCUGCUUUUGUGUUUCAAGAAUACCAAGCAACUCAUGUGGCUUGUACUUUGCUUUGCAGUUCCUUAGGAUGAGGAGGUACUGAGGUUAUUGCUGGGUCCUGAUGGUGUUUAGCAUCUGCAGCCUUAGACUCAUUCCUUUGGCUAAUUUUCAUCAUCAGUCUUUCAGACUUUGAUUUUACUGGCAUCCUGAUCAGGAAUUGAUUUGUCUUAUUAAUUUUUUUUUAGUUAUGUGGUUUUCUUUGUUUUUGUUGUUGUUUUUAGAGACGGAGUCUUUCUAUGUUGCCCAGGCUGGACUCAAACUCUUGAGCUCAGAUGAUCCUCCCACCUCAGCCUCCUAAGUAUCUGGGACUAUACAUGUGCCAGUGUGCCCAGCUUAACAUCAAUUUAAUUUACUUCUUCCACCAAAUGAACUUUAGUGUUUAUUCAGCUAACAGAUUAUGAAGCCUUCAGCAGUGCUUUUGUAGCAGCAUUCAUUUUCUCUUCUUUUUCUUCUUUUUUUUUUUUUUUUUUUUUGAGACAGUCUCGCUCUGUCACCCAGGCUGGAGUGCAGUGACAUGAUCUCAGCUCUCUGCAACCUCCACCUCCCAGGUUCAAGCAAUUCUCCUCCCUCAGCCUCCUGAGUAGCUGGGAUUACAGGUGCAUACCACCAUGCCUAGUUAAUUUUUAUAUUUUUAGUAGAGAUGGGUUUCACCAUAUUGACCAGGUUGGUUUUGAACUCCUGAUCUCAGGUGAUCCACCCGCCUUGGCCUCCCAAACUGCUGGGAUUAUAGGUGUGAACCAUUGCGCUGGCCCACAGUCUUCAUUUUUAAUAUUUUCACCAGAAUGAUCUCUUUCAAAAUGAAAAUGGGAUGAGCAUGUGCACACAUAGACCCCUGCACACACACACACACCCUACACUCCUAGCUUACUAUCCUAUUGUCACUUGGUAUUAUUCAAAGAAUGAAAACCAAACUUCUUACCAUGACCUCAGGCCUUAUAUGGUCUCUCCUCUACCUUCCUCAUCCAGCCUUAUCUUGUAUAACUCUCCUCCCUUCCCUCUGUAUUCCAGCUUCUCAGCUUUCUCUUCCUUCCGCCACAGGUCCUUCGCAUUUAUGUCGUCUCUAAAUGAAAUACUAUCCCCUACCAGUCCCCCUUUCCCUAGUCCAUGUCUGCUCAGCCUUCAAGUAUCAGCUUAAAUCUUGAGGGAGUAUUUUCUGAACUCCUUUGUCAAGUCAGUCCUUUGCUAUGUACUCUCACAAAAGUUUGUUUCUCUCCCUCAGAUAAUUUAUCUCACACUUUCAUUAGAGCAAUUUGAUUAUUGUUUUAUCCCCCAUAGACUAUAAGCUUUAGCAUUUGGAAUACAAUGAUAAAUAUUGUCCUUACUGUUAAAAACUUGGAAGAGUUUAUGACUUUAGUAAGGAAGACAAACCUGUGAGAGAGGUAAGUACCUAUCAUGUGGGGGGGAGGUCUUUGGAAGCUCAGCAAACCUUACUUCCCCUCCUGUGUUGAUAUAACCAGUUGACAACCAGUAAUUCCAGCUUUCCCUUUCACUGUAGGCCAGGUCCUCCAGGCCCUGUGCUUACUUAGAACCUAAAUGCUCCAUGAAACCUCAGCAACUAAGGUCAUCAUUUUAUUUAUAGAAGUGAGACACAUUUUAGGCAGUCUAGCAUUGUAGGUUGCUGUGCCCCCAAAGGGGCAAUACCAACAGACAGAUUAUUUAAAAGGGUUAUAUUUAGAUUGAGAAAUAGGAUAAAUUUCACCAUUUGAUAAAUGAGAGAAUAGUGGCUUAAACAAUAACCACUUCAAUUUGAAAAAUGUUGAAUUAUCUAAAAGGAUCCAGAAAAGUAAAAUUAAUUCAUAGCAAUCUGUAGGAUGAACUAAUAGAAAGCGUGGAAGUCGAACAACUAUUUGGUAAAAAUCACAAUAUGAGAACUGUUUAUACUUUAAGGAACACAAAGGGGGUUUCUUUAAAACCCCAGAUGUUUUAUGGUCUAUGUUACCUAUUGAAAGGCUUUGCGAGAGACAACUUUGCUGGGAGUCACUGGGCAGCUUUUGUGGGGUCGUCGGCGUCUGGGAUCUGCCUCGGCGUGUCUUUGGCAUUGCUCAGCCCCUGCUGCCGCGCGGCAGGCAGAGCUCACACUUCUGUCCCCCAGCUGGUCGGGGGUCCAUACACCGCCUCGAUGGUGGCUCUGCAGGAGACGCGGACCAGACCACAGUCCAUGCCCUGAGCGGACUGCAUUAUGAGGCAUCUGCCUUCUGCCGUGGCCAAGUGGUGCAUGGCUUCAGCCGUGGCUCCAAGCAGCUGAGCAUCCCCACGGCUAAUUUUCCUGAGCAAGUGGUAGAUAAUCUUCCAGCUGAUAUAGCCACUGGCAUUUAUUAUGGUUGGGCCAGUGUUGGAAGUGGAAAUGUCCAUAAGAUGGUGGUGAGCAUAGGCUGGAACCCAUACUACAAGAAUACGAAGAAGUCUAUGGAAACACAUAUCAUGCAUAUCUCAAUGUGGCCGUUGUCCACUACCUCAGACCAGAAGAGAACUUUGAUUCUUUAGAGUCACUUAUUUCAACAAUUCAAGGUGAUAUUGAGGAAGCUAAGAAACGACUAGAUUUACCAGAACAUUUGAAAAUCAAAGAAGACAGUUUCUUCCAGGUUUCCAAAAGCAAAACAAUGAAUGGCCACUGAUGAAAAAUUGUAUUAUUUAUUCAUUCACUGUAAAGUGUUUCUGUGUUUAUUACUGUCCAGCCUCAUCUUGGUUAUGUUUUAAAAAUCAAACACUUUCCUACAGUUGUGAAUUAAACAGUACAAUGUAGUUACCAUAUCAUGCUUCAGCUGUUAAAUGAAGCCCAUUGUGUCAUAGCACUAAAAAGAUUCAUUUAAAAAUCAAGAUUUAAAAAAUACAUAUUGAUUAAAAUGUACCACUAGAAAGGUAUUACUUGUGUAUAAGUAUGGGUAAAACGGCAAGUCACUAGUUUGAGAUGAAAUCAUGGUAAAAUACCAGCAUGUAUGUACUUGUAUAGUGUACACUUCUGAACAAAGAAGGCUUACAAAAGUAAAGGCAUUAAGGCCAAGUGCAGUGGCUCAUGCCUGUAAUCCCAGCACUUUGGGAGCCGAGGUGGGAGGAUUGCUUGAGCUCAGGAGUUCAAGACCAGUCUCGGCAACAUAGCGAGACCCCAUCUCUAUUAAAAAAAAAAAAAAGGAAAUGCAUUAUAUAGAAAAUUGAUAGUUUAUCGUAAACCUACAGGGAAGAAACCCAGACUUUGUAUUUUUGAUAUUUUAUGCAUUAAUACAUUACAAACAUGAAGAUGUUUGUAAAAUUUUGUUUUAGUUAUUUUCUUUGAGGUCGCAUCAUUGUACCAUCUUCAUUUUUGUAUAGAGCUGCUUCAGUGCUAAGUCCUCUGGACUUCCCCUAUCUGUUUUUUGUUGUUGUUGUUGAAGACAGUAAAAUAAGUUUUU
RNA transcript from Callithrix jacchus (white-tufted-ear marmoset), 3490 nucleotides. It is a transcript of the gene named riboflavin kinase pseudogene, with no coding region annotated. Lineage: Eukaryota; Metazoa; Chordata; Mammalia; Primates; Cebidae. The record is from RefSeq and is a predicted model, not a curated record.